RNAcentral lists this long non-coding RNA (729 nucleotides) under Homo sapiens (human). RNAcentral's name for it is "non-protein coding lnc-MRPS24-1:3". The record is from RNAcentral. Lineage: Eukaryota; Metazoa; Chordata; Mammalia; Primates; Hominidae.
AGGACCUGGGGAAACGCUUGGCUCCUCUUCGAGCCCCGAGGGUGCAGGUUGGGCAGGGCGGGCUCCGGUGGGCCGCACACCCAUCACCCGUACUAGCGUGAGGUUGUCGAAGAGAAAAUCUCACGUUUCGCAUCCUCAAAUUUCCGGAUCUGAAACCCUAUGCAAGCAGCAACCGCGGGAGAGCGAACAGCGGCGGGAUGAGCAUUCACAAGGCUGAGCAUUCACAGGGCUGCGGGGAAGGCGGGAGUAACAGCUAGCAGCAUACCGCGGCCCCGCCCCGCAGAGGCCCUGCCCCGCCCCCGCCAGAGUACAGAGUACGAGCUCCGACUUGGUCUCGUCCGCGGUCGUCCCCACCCCUCAGCGCGCUGUGGUGCUGUCCUGGAGCCGAGAGCUGCCUUGCGCUUGGCGCGCCCUGCACACCUCCCCGGUCUGCGCCAAGAACCGGGCGGCCCGAGUACGCGUAAGCAAGGGGGACAAGCCGGUGACCUACGAGGAGGCACACGCGCCGCACUACAUCGCCCACCGUAAAGGCUGGCUGUCGCUGCACACAGGUAACCUGGAUGGAGAGGACCAUGCCGCAGAGCGAACGGUGGAGGAUGUUUUCCUUCGCAAGUUCAUGUGGGGUACCUUCCCAGGCUGCCUGGCUGACCAGCUGGUUUUAAAGCGCCGGGGUAACCAGUUGGAGAUCUGUGCCGUGGUCCUGAGGCAGUUGUCUCCACACAAGUACUA